UAAUUGAAGAGUUUGAUCAUGGCUCAGAUUGAACGCUGGCGGCAGGCCUAACACAUGCAAGUCGAGCGGUAACAUUUCAAAAGCUUGCUUUUGAAGAUGACGAGCGGCGGACGGGUGAGUAAUGGCUGGGAACCUGCCCUGAUGUGGGGGAUAACAGUUGGAAACGACUGCUAAUACCGCAUGAUGUCUACG
This 192-nucleotide ribosomal RNA is filed under the name Enterovibrio nigricans. RNAcentral describes it as "partial 16S ribosomal RNA". It matches the Rfam family "Bacterial small subunit ribosomal RNA", at positions 1 to 184 of the family's 1533-position model. Lineage: Bacteria; Pseudomonadati; Pseudomonadota; Gammaproteobacteria; Vibrionales; Vibrionaceae. The record is from RNAcentral.